Long non-coding RNA from Ctenopharyngodon idella (grass carp), 456 nucleotides. RefSeq lists it as uncharacterized. NCBI's taxonomy places the organism in Eukaryota, Metazoa, Chordata, Actinopteri, Cypriniformes, Xenocyprididae. The record is from RefSeq and is a predicted model, not a curated record. The transcript is spliced from 2 exons.
UUCAUCUGUGCAGUGAAAUAUUCAACAGUCAAAUACAAGAAAAAAAUGCAACACACAGAACCAUAUUUUUAUAUUUCACAACCACAUUUUAUGAAGAUGACAGUGAUGUUUGCCUGUGCAAAACUCACAUCCAUGAUACCAUGGGUGAUGCUGUGGAUGGUUGCUUGGGAGUUGAUCAAUGUCAUGGGUAAAGACAGCCCAGUCUGACCUUCUGUGCUCCACUGCGCAGCUGUUCUGCGGUCUGAUCUUCUCUCUCUGUGCUGCGGGGGCGUCCUGCUCCCGCCAUUGUCCAAUAUAUCUGUCAGGUGCUUCAGAGGGUCCUCUGUUAGAGGAGGAGGCUCAGGUGGAGGCGGCAGGUCUGCAGACAUGCAGAAACCAAAAGUGUGAAUCAUCAUUUAUACAGUGGUGGACGAAGUACAAGUACAAAUAGCCUAAUAAAAUAUUACUCCAGUAAAA